UGGCUCAGUUGGUAGAGCAUGGUGCUUGCAAUGCUAUGGGUUUGGGUUCGACUCCCAC
Molecule: non-coding RNA, 58 nt
Organism: Salmo salar (Atlantic salmon)
Lineage: Eukaryota; Metazoa; Chordata; Actinopteri; Salmoniformes; Salmonidae
Source: Rfam